Molecule: ribosomal RNA, 314 nt
Filed under: uncultured Christensenellaceae bacterium
Lineage: Bacteria; Bacillati; Bacillota; Clostridia; Christensenellales; Christensenellaceae
Description: bacterial SSU rRNA
Rfam family: Bacterial small subunit ribosomal RNA
Source: RNAcentral
GACGAACGCUGGCGGCAUGCCUAACACAUGCAAGUCGAACGGAGUAUGUUUCUUCGGAGAUAUAUUUAGUGGCGAACGGGUGAGUAACGCGUGAGCAACCUGCCUCAGUGAGGGGGAUAACACUUGGAAACAGGUGCUAAUACCGCAUGAGACCACACCGCCGCAUGACGGAGGGGUCAAAGGAGCAAUCCGCACUGAGAGGGGCUCGCGUCCCAUUAGGUAGAUGGCGGGGUAACGGCCCACCAUGCCGACGAUGGGUAGGGGUUCUGAGAGGAAGGUCCCCCACAUUGGAACUGAGACACGGUCCAGACUCC